GAUGACCCACUGCUGUCCUCAUAGUAUUAAGGACCUGCUUUUAUAUAGAUACAUAUUUAAAUUGUGUAAUUAACGAUUUGGUGCAUACAUGUUAAUAUAGUUUAUUAUAAAUAUUACUCUCACCGUACUCUUUCAAGGACGGUAAUUUUAGGAAGUCACAUGGGAAAGUGACAAUUUCCGGCAUUAGACGACACAUCCGGCUUGUCUCGUUUACCGAUUUCGUUUAUCAUUAUUUUAAACUUUAAACUUACUUAUUUGUCCUUAAGUAUAUAAUUACUUCAAAAUAUUACAGUGAUUUUUUUCUUGAUUUUUAUAUUUGGUUUCUAAAUUCAGAUUUUUGGUUAAAAAUCACUGACAAACAGGGUAACCGUCCGUAUAGGACUUAGCUUUACCAGUCGGUGUCUGUCACACAGUAAUUAUUAUUUAAGAAUAGUUUAAGCUUGGUCUGCCGUCAACGUGUUUUCAUGGCGGCUUUUAGUAGCACCAACAUAUUCUUCUGUCGCGGUUUAUUUUCAAGAAUAAGUAGGACAGUCCCUGCAAGCGGCCUUUUUCGAAGGAGUUUGUGUCCGUGUCAAGGUGAAACACACUUGCCUAGGUAUCUCUGGUGGGAUGCUGCCAGAAGAUUUUUCUCCCAUGGUGGUGGCGCAGUCGUGGAGCAGCAGACGCUGGAUAGCAUUGCCAAGAAGAUCCGAGAUCAGAAGUAUAAGAGAGUGGUUGUGAUGGCUGGGGCUGGGAUUAGCACACCCAGUGGCAUCCCAGAUUUCAGGUCCCCUGGUAGCGGCCUCUACGACAACUUGCAGCAGUAUAAUCUGCCAUAUGCAGAGGCUAUUUUUGAAAUUAACUAUUUUCAUCACAAUCCUAUUCCAUUCUUUGCUCUUGCCAAAGAGUUGUAUCCAGGAAAUUACCAGCCUAAUUCUACACACUAUUUUGUGCGACUGCUUCUUGAAAAGCAUCUGCUUCUCCGGAUGUACACACAGAAUAUCGACGGUUUGGAAAGAUUAGCAGGGAUUCCUCCUGAUUUUCUCGUGGAGGCCCACGGGACAUUUGCUACCGCCACCUGCACUGUUUGCAGACGCAAAUACGAGGAAGAAGACCUACGAGUGAGUUACUUGAUGAGCGGAGUGAUUCCCAAAUGUCCAACCUGUAAGGGCAUUAUAAAGCCAGACAUUGUUUUCUUUGGGGAAGAGCUACCAGUUCACUUCUUCAAGUACCUCACAGACUUUCCACUCGCAGAUCUCCUCAUCAUCAUGGGCACAUCACUAGAGGUAGAGCCCUUUGCUAGUCUUGCUGGGGCAGUGCGAGGAUCUGUCCCUCGACUCCUCAUCAACAAGGACCUAGUUGGUCCAUUUGCAUUGAGAAAUCGUCGACUUGGUGAUGUCGUGCUACUGAGCGAUGUAGUAAGUGGCGUCCAAAGUUUGGUCGAUGCUCUUGGUUGGACUCAGGAGCUGGAUGCUCUGAUGGCCAAUGCUGCUGUGAAAGUUUGAUCCUUCCUGCUGUCUUCUUAUCCUCUGGCAUACCAGUGAGCUGUGUUAAGAAGCAGAGUUACUAUACAUACCUCCACCUAAGAGACUGCAUCAAAGACGAAUGAAGAAUAGGCGCUUUAUCAAAACUGGCACACUGAUGUUCUACAUAGGAUGACAUGUUGAAAUAAUUUGUGAAAGGUGGACCACUUUUACAUUCAUUUCAUGGAUUACAUGAACUGUAAAUAAAUUGUCAGCAAUUA
This is an RNA transcript of Entelurus aequoreus (snake pipefish), 1723 nucleotides long. It is a transcript of the gene named sirtuin 3, with no coding region annotated. The record is from RefSeq and is a predicted model, not a curated record. Lineage: Eukaryota; Metazoa; Chordata; Actinopteri; Syngnathiformes; Syngnathidae. The transcript is spliced from 9 exons.